RNAcentral lists this ribosomal RNA (290 nucleotides) under uncultured Campylobacterota bacterium. Its description in RNAcentral is "uncultured Epsilonproteobacteria bacterium partial 16S ribosomal RNA". It matches the Rfam family "Bacterial small subunit ribosomal RNA", at positions 217 to 524 of the family's 1533-position model. Lineage: Bacteria; Pseudomonadati; Campylobacterota. The record is from RNAcentral.
GCUUUGGGAUCAGACUAUAUCCUAUCAGUUAGUUGGUGAGGUAAUGGCUCACCAAGGCAAUGACGGGUAGCGGUUCUGAGAGGAUGAUCCGCCACACUGGUACUGAGACACGGACCAGACUCCUACGGGAGGCAGCAGUGAGGAAUAUUGCACAAUGGGGGGAACCCUGAUGCAGCAACGCCGCGUGGAGGAUGACGCAUUUCGGUGUGUAAACUCCUUUUAUAUGUCAAGAAAAUGACGGUAGCAUAUGAAUAAGCACCGGCUAACUCCGUGCCAGCAGCCGCGGUAAU